CCUACGGGUGGCAGCAGUAGGGAAUCUUCCACAAUGGGCGAAAGCCUGAUGGAGCAACGCCGCGUGGGUGAAGAAGGUCUUCGGAUCGUAAAACCCUGUUGUUAGAGAAGAAAGUGCGUGAGAGUAACUGUUCCCGUUUCGACGGUAUCUACCCAGAAAGCCCCGGCUAACUACGUGCCAGCAGCCGCGGUAAUACGUAGGUGGCAAGCGUUAUCCGGAAUUAUUGGGCGUAAAGGGAACGCAGGCGGUCUUUUAAGUCUGAUGUGAAAUCCUCCGGCUUAACCGGAGGAGUGCAUUGGAAACUGGGAGACUUGAGUGUAGAAGAGGAGAGGGGAAUUCCAGGUGUAGCGGUGAAAUGCGUAGAUAUAUGGAAGAACACCAGGGGCGAAGGCGGCUCGCUGGUAUGUAACUGACGCUGAGGUUCGAAAGCGUGGGUAGCAAACAGGAUUAGAUACCCCAGUAGUC
RNAcentral lists this ribosomal RNA (465 nucleotides) under uncultured bacterium. Its description in RNAcentral is "partial 16S ribosomal RNA". It matches the Rfam family "Bacterial small subunit ribosomal RNA", at positions 338 to 795 of the family's 1533-position model. The record is from RNAcentral.